UGUUAAUAUGGUGUAUCACAUUGAUUGAUUUGCGUAUAUUGAAGAAUCCUUGCAUCCCUGGGAUAAAUCCCACUUGAUCAUGGUGUAUGAUCCUUUUAAUAUGUUGUUGGAUUCUGUUUGCUAGCAUUUUGUUAAGGAUUUUUGCAUCUAUAUUCAUCAGUGAUAUUGGUCUGUAAUUUUCUUUUUCGUAGUAUCUUUGUCUGGUUUUGGUAUCAGGGUGAUGGUGGCCUCAUAGAAUGCAUUUGGGAGUGUUCCUUCCUCUGCAGUUUUUUGGAAGAGUUUGAGAAGGAUGGGUAUUAGCUCUUCUCUAAAUGUUUGAUAGAAUUCACCUGUGAAGCUAUCUGGUCCUGGACUUUUGUUUGUUGGAAGAUUUUUAAUCAGUUUCAAUUUCAUUACUUGUGAUUGGUUUGUUCAUAUUUUCUAUUUCUUCCUGGUUCAGUCUUGGAAGGUUAUACCUUUCUAAGAAUUUGUCCAUUUCUUCCAGGUUGUCCAUUUUAUUGGCAUAAAGUUGAUUGUAGUAAUCUCUCAUGAUUCUUUGUAUUUCUGUAGUUUCAGUUGUUACCUCUCCUUUUUCAUUUCUAAUUCUGUUGUUUUGGGUCUUCUCUCUUUUUCUCUUGAUGAGUCUGGCUAAUGGUUUAUCAAUUUUGCUUAUCUUCUCAACUAGUUUUUAGUUUUAUUGAUCUUUGCUACAGUUUCCUUCAUGUCUUUUUCAUUUAUUUCUGAUCUGAUCUUUUUGAUUUCUUUCCUUCUGCUAACUUUGGGAAUUUUUUGUUCUUCUUUCUCUGAUUGCUUUAGGUGUAAGGUUAGGUUGUUUAUUUGAGAUGUUUCUUGCUUCUUGAUGUAGGAUUGUACUGCUAUAGACUUACCUCUUAGAACUGCUUUUGCUGUAUCCUAUAGGUGUUAGGUUGUCAUGUUUUCAUUGUCAUUUGUUUCUAGGUAUUUUUUGAUUUCCUCUUUGAUUUCUUCAGUGAUCUCUUCGUUAUUUAGUAGUGUAUUGUUUAGCCUCCAUGUGUUUGUAUUUUUUACAGAUUUUUUUUUCCUGUAAAUGAUAUGUUGUCUCAUAGCGUUGUGGUCGGAAAAGAUACUUGAUACAAUUUCAGUUUUCUUAAAUUUACCAAGGCUUGAUUUGUGACCCAAGAUAUGAUCUAUCCUGGAGAGUGUUUAUGAGCACUUGAGAAGAAAGUACAAUCUGCUGUUUUUGGAUGGAAUGUCCUAUAAAUAUCAAUUAAGUCCAUCUUGUUUAAUGUAUCAUUUAAAGCUUUUGUUUCCUUAUUUAUUUUCAUUUUGGAUGAUGUCUCCAUUGGUGAAAGUGGGGUGUUAACGUCCCCUACUAUGGUUGUGUUACUGUUGAUUUCCCCUUUUAUGGCUGUUAGCAUUUGACUUAUGUAUUGAGGUGCUCCAAUGUUGAGAGCAUAAGUAUUUAGAAUUGUUAUAUCUUCUUCUUGGAUUGCUCCCUUGAUCAUUAUGUAUUGUCCUUCUUUGUCUCUUGUAAUAGUCUUUAUUUUAAAGUCUAUUUUGUCUGAUAUGAGAAUUUCUACUCCAGCUAUCUUUUGAUUUCCAUUUGCAUGGAAUAUGUUUUUCCAUCCCCUCACUUUCAGUCUGUAUGUGUCCCUAGGUCUGAAGUGGGUCUCUUGUAGACAGCAUAUGUAUGGGUCUUGUUUUUGUAUCCAUUCAGCCUGUCUAUGUCUUUUGGUUGGAGGAUUUAAUCCAUUUACAUUUAAGGUAGUUAUCAAUAUGUAUGUUCCUAUUACCAUUUUCUUAACUGGUUCGGGUUUGUUCUUGUAAGACUUUUCCUUCUCUACGCCUCUUCCUUCUCUUGUGUUUCCUGCCUAGAGAAGUUCCUUUAGCAUUUGUUGUAGAGCUGGUUUGGUGUUGCUGAAUUCUCUUAGCUUUUGCUUAUCUGUAAAGAUUUUAAUUUCUCCAUCAAAUAUGAAUGAAGUCUUUGCUGGGUAGAGUAAUCUUGGUUGUAGGUUUUUCUCUUUCAUCACUUUAUAUAUGUCCUGCCACUCCCUUCUGGCUUGCAGAAUUUCUGCUGAAAGAUCAGCUGUUAACCUCAUGAGGAUUCCCUUGUAUGUUCAUUUUUGCCUUUCCCUUGCUGCUUGUAAUUUUUUUUUCUUGUAUUUACUUUUUGAUAGUUUGAUUAAUAUGUGUCUUGGUGUGUUUCUCCUUGGAUUUAUUCUGUAUGGGAGUGUCUGUGCUUCCUGGACUUGAUUGAUUAUUUCCUUACCCAUAUUAGGGAAGUUUUUGACUAUAAUCUCUUCAAAUAUUUUCUCAGUCCCUUUCUUUUUCUCUUCUUCUUCUGGGACCCCUAUAAUUCGAAUGUUGGUGUGUUUAAUGUUGUCCCAGAUCUCUCUGAGACUGUCCUCAAUUCUUUUCAUUCUUUUUUCUUUAUUCUGCUCUGCAGUAGUUACUGCCAGUAUUUUAUCUCCCAGGUCACUUAUCCGUUCUUCUGCCUCAGUUUUUCUGCUCUUGAUUACUUGUAGAGAAUUUUAAAUUUGAUUUAUUAUGUUGUUCAUCAUUGUUUGUUUGCUGUUUCGUUCUUCUAGGUCCUUGUUAAACAUUUGUUGUAUUUUCUCCAGUCUAUUUCCAAGAUUUUGGAUCAUCUUUACUAUCAUUAUUCUGAAUUCUUUUGCAGGUAGACUGCCUAUUUCCUCUUCAUUUGUUUGGUCUGGUGGGUUUUUACCUUUGUCCUUCAUCUGCUGUGUAUUCUUCUGUCUUCUCAUUUUGCUUAACUUACUGUGUUUGGGGUCUCUGUGUCGCAGGCUGCAGGUUCGUAGUUUCCGUUGUUUUUGGUGUCUGCCCCCAGUGGGUAAGGUUGGUUCAGUGGGUUGUGUAGGCUUCCUGGUGGAAGGAACUGGUGCCUAUGUUCUGGUGGAUGAGGCUGGAUCUUGUCUUUCUGGUGGGCAGGACUGCAUCCGGUGGUGUGUUUUGGGGUGUUUUUGACCUUACUAUGAUUUUAGGCAGCCUCUCUGCUAAUGGUGGGUUUGUGUUCCUUUCUUGCUAGUUGUUUGGCACACGGUGCCCAGCACUGUAGCUUUUUGGUUGUUGAGUGGAGCUGGGUCUUAGUGCUCAGAUGGAGAUCUCUGAGAGAGCUUUCACUGUUUGAUAUUACAUGGGGCCAGGAGGUAUCCGGUGGAGUAGUGUCCUGAACUUGGUCUCCCACUUCAGAGGCUCAGGCUGGACACCUGACCAGAGCACCAAGAUCCUGUCAGCCACACAGCUCAGAAGAAAAGCGAGAAAAAGAAAGAGAGAGAAAGAGAGAGAGAGAGAGAGAAAGAUAAAUAAAAUAAAAUAAAGUUAUUAAAGUAGAAAAAAAUUGUUAAAAAUGAAAUAUAAUUUAAAAAAAGAAAGAAGAGAGCAACCAAACCAAAAAUCAAA
Orcinus orca (killer whale) is the source of this 3378-nucleotide long non-coding RNA. RefSeq lists it as uncharacterized. The transcript is spliced from 2 exons. The record is from RefSeq and is a predicted model, not a curated record. Lineage: Eukaryota; Metazoa; Chordata; Mammalia; Artiodactyla; Delphinidae.